RNAcentral lists this ribosomal RNA (432 nucleotides) under uncultured bacterium. RNAcentral describes it as "partial 16S ribosomal RNA". It matches the Rfam family "Bacterial small subunit ribosomal RNA", at positions 29 to 507 of the family's 1533-position model. The record is from RNAcentral.
ACGCACGCUGGCGGCAUGCCUAACACAUGCCAGUCGCACGAACCCUUCGGGGUUAGUGGCGCACGGGUGCGUAACGCGUGGGAAUCUGCCCUUUGCUUCGGAAUAACUCAGGGAAACUUGUGCUAAUACCGGAUGAUGUCUUCGGACCAAAGAUUUAUCGGCAAGGGAUGAGCCCGCGUAGGAUUAGGUAGUUGGUGGGGUAAAGGCCUACCAAGCCGACGAUCCUUAGCUGGUCUGAGAGGAUGAUCAGCCACACUGGGACUGAGACACGGCCCAGACUCCUACGGGAAGCAGCAGUGGGGAAUAUUGGACAAUGGGCGCAAGCCUGAUCCAGCAAUGCCGCGUGAGUGAUGAAGGCCCUCGGGUCGUAAAGCUCUUUUACCAGGGAUGAUAAUGACAGUACCUGGAGAAUAAGCUCCGGCUAACUCCGUG